RNAcentral lists this ribosomal RNA (512 nucleotides) under uncultured Pseudomonadota bacterium. RNAcentral's name for it is "bacterial SSU rRNA". It matches the Rfam family "Bacterial small subunit ribosomal RNA", at positions 392 to 896 of the family's 1533-position model. Lineage: Bacteria; Pseudomonadati; Pseudomonadota. The record is from RNAcentral.
CAAUGCCGCGUGUGUGAAGAAGGCCUGCGGGUUGUAAAGCACUUUCAGUAGGGAAGAAAAACUCGGGGCUAAUACCUCCGGGCCUUGACGUUACCUAAAGAAGAAGCACCGGCUAACUCCGUGCCAGCAGCCGCGGUAAUACGGAGGGUGCGAGCGUUAAUCGGAAUUACUGGGCGUAAAGCGCACGUAGGCGGUCGGAUAAGUCGGAUGUGAAAGCCCUGGGCUUAACCUGGGAACUGCGUUUUGGAACUGAAAGACUAGAGUGUGUCAGAGGGAGGUGGAAUUCCACGUGUAGCAGUGAAAUGCGUAGAUAUGUGGAGGAACACCGAUGGCGAAGGCAGCCUCCUGGGAUAACACUGACGCUCAUGCACGAAAGCGUGGGGAGCAAACAGGAUUAGAUACCCUGGUAGUCCACGCCCUAAACGAUGUCAACUGGUUGUUGGGGAAGCAAUUCCUUAGUGACGAAGCUAACGCGAGAAGUUGACCGCCUGGGGAGUACGGUCGCAAGAUUA